GUAUGGUAACUGGACACAGGCUGUUACUAUGUUUUGUCUCAUUUCCAUUAAACAUAUGAAUAUUUCAUCCUUAAAACAAAUAAACUAGUAACUGUAUUCUGAUUCUUCUCAUUUCUGAUUAGGGUUGUUUGAGGUUCUUUGCAUAUAAACAGAUUUUACCAUAAUAACUAGACCAUAUUUAGAAAAGCAGAAAAGUUAAAUAGGAUGUCAAUGUGUACAUGUAAGGAAAAAACCUCCUGCCUGAAAUAGAAUAAACUAAGAUGGGAAAGGGGUCCAGAGUAAAGAGAGGAAAGGAAGGAAGGCUGGAACAUAACAUUCCUAUGAAGAAGGAAGAAAGUGGUAGAUGGAGACAUCAAGUCUAGUCAUCCUCUGUCCUUGCCACCAUGUUGGUGCAAACACCUUGAUGGCUAAGACCCAAGGAGGAACCACAAUUGAUAUCUAAAGUACAGGUGGAUAAGUACUUAGUAAAUAUUUGUUCAUCAUGCUCAGCUUUCUCAGAAAAUACUUAUGGAGUCUCCACAUUUUCAAAAAAUUGUUAAUAAAUGAGAUAUUCUUUUCAAAGAAAAGUUUUUUUUUUUUUUUUUGAAAAAAACACUGACAAGAUGCCUGGGAACUUUACAACAACUUACUAGAAACAAAAAAUAAAUGAAGGCAUAUCAAAAAAAUCAGAACUUCAAAAAUACAAAUAGUAGCUAAUAAACUUUUACAUGGGCAACUAAUAAAGUAAAAAAAAAAAGAUCUUUAAAAGGUAGAAAGACAUAUUUUGAGAUAAGAAAAUUGUGACCACAAAAGAAAAACACGGAAGUCUAUGAAGCAGAGCAUGAGAGGUUCAAAUCAGAAGUUAGAUAAAUCAAAAAAAAAAAAAAAUUCACGCUCUUGCAAGAGUCUUUAAACCAAUAAUAAAAAGUUCUUUAAAUAAAUCAAAAACAGGAAGUCAGAUAGAUUAUAGCUGGUCCACUUUAUCUUGGUAAAAAUAAAUGCACUCAUGGGUGAAAGUAUACUGAGAAAGGUAAUAAUAAAAUCACAAUUUUUACAGAGUUUUACAUUUUUCAGGGAUCAUUUAUACACAAUUUGACUCUUGCAGCAACUCUAUAAGAGGAACAAUGGUCUUAAAAUCCUCUUUUAAAGGUGAAAAAAGAUGUUCAGCUAGAUGAGUGAUUAAUUCUAGACGAAUUAACUAAUAAAAGAAGAGCUUACACCAAAACCCAUAUUUUUCUACUCCUUAAAAGUGGGAUUUCCUUUCCCCACCAAUUUCAAAUCGUCUCUCUCAUAAUUUGCCUUAGAGAUGUGUCUGGGGUGGGGAGGAAAGUGCUGAAAAGAAUUACCAGGCUCUAGACAGAAAUUUAAAAAGAGUUUACCAGAAAGAAAAUCAAAGCAGGAAUUGUGGACCUUUCAGAUCAAAUGUGUAACCCAGUAUGUAUCAUGAACAACGGAGCUGAACAGCGAUUAUAUACUGAGGGACACACUCAUAUGUUUUCUACAUAGGAUGUAAAAACCUGGAAACAGCAUAAUUUCCAGCCUUAUAACAAAAAAAAGGCCAUUAAUCUACAAAAUUGCCAAUUUUCUUGAACCCAUCAGAGAACUCAUCUCCAUACAGACACCUCCAAGGAGAAACAGGAUGUGGACACCUGAUAACCUGAAGCAGAUGCCAGAUGGAAUACAAGCUGAAAGGAUGACAUAGAAAGCUGACAAAGAAAGGAUGAUGGUCAAGAAGAGGGAUCAACAGGAUAAGUAAGUACGAACAGGGUGAUUUUUCGAGGAAAAGGAUAUUAACACUGCAUCUAUAAUUACAUGG
Molecule: non-coding RNA, 1795 nt
Organism: Vicugna pacos (alpaca)
Lineage: Eukaryota; Metazoa; Chordata; Mammalia; Artiodactyla; Camelidae
Source: RefSeq, a predicted model, not a curated record